Non-coding RNA from Pelobates cultripes (western spadefoot toad), 975 nucleotides. NCBI's taxonomy places the organism in Eukaryota, Metazoa, Chordata, Amphibia, Anura, Pelobatidae. The record is from the annotation of a GenBank genome assembly.
GUGACAUAGGCCAAGACUCCUGGUACUUAUUUCCCCAUCAACACACUUAAAGCAACACUAUAGCAUUAGGAAUACAAACUUGUAUUCCCAACUAUAUAAUGUCCUAGUGCCUAGUUAAAUUAUUGCUCCCUCCUACAUUAAGUACAUAAGGCAAUUUACUCACCUUUAAUCCAUUGCCACACUAGUCACUAUCCUGCCUCUUUGGGAGGCUAGCGCUCAUAUGCUGCAAAAUGCCACACUACACCAAUCAAAAUGCUCUCUAUAAGCAGCAUUUGAUUGAAUAACUGAAUCUGACUUGGUUAUUCAGCAGACACGUGUAGUGGAUCACAGGUAACCCGACUGGUUACCUCCACUAAUUCCCUUCCUUCGGCCAGUAAGGAACCAUGUAAAGGACAAAUAGACCAUAUCCCCCCAGUAACUGGACGACAUACAGUCCUUGAGGUACAACACAAUUUUAUUGGCCACAAAUGGCUUGUAUGCAUAACCCCUGCAACGGGUGGAUCACAGAAAACAUACAUGGUCACCUCCCAGGAUCCUACCCCUCCCUGAGUCCCUAGCAUGGGAAAGGGACUCUGUUCCCUUUGUCCCCAAAGCCCGCCACUAAAGUCACAGGGUUUCCCACACCAACCGGCAGAGGUCUUCUUCCCAAGAGCCUCUGUGCCUCGGCAUGGAAAAAAGGGCCCGUCCCUUUGUCUCCUAGGCACAGAAAAGCCCCUCACGGAAAAAGAGCUGGUCUCUUUGUUCCUCAGGCUCAUGAGAGCCCGCCAAACUUGCCAGUGCCCCAAAAGUGCCCACACCAAUCUCAGGGACCCUCCCCUCCCCAUACGAACAGCGGCCACCCAGGGAAGCACUUAUUAAUUACUUCCCUUGUGAUUUCACACCUAUGUGGUGAGUGCGAACGUUCUGAAUUAUUGGUGUGAACAUUAUAGGGGAGGCCCUUGUUCGGGAGACGAUCGAGGCAGGAGGCAAUCCACA